AAGAGUCAAUUUAAUAAAUCAAUUAAACAAGUCCAACAAUUAAAUGGAAGUCCAUAUUUUUAUUUCAAAAAUUCGCAGCCCAAACAAAAGUAAAUAGUAAUCCACCAUUUAAACUAAAAUUUCGGCCCAGAGUUUAAUUAAAAACGGCCCAAGCAAAUAAAAAAAAUGCAGCCCAAAACUAAUUAAUACCCGGCCCAAACACUCGGCCCAAACAAAGCCCAAACCCCCAAAUCUAUUUUCUCUCCUUCUUCUUUCUUAAACA
This 262-nucleotide long non-coding RNA is filed under the name Salvia miltiorrhiza (redroot sage). Its description in RNAcentral is "long non-coding RNA (SMIL_LNC010269)". Lineage: Eukaryota; Viridiplantae; Streptophyta; Magnoliopsida; Lamiales; Lamiaceae. The record is from RNAcentral.